CUACGGAGGGUGCAAGCGUUGUUCGGAAUUAUUGGGCGUAAAGCGCGUGUAGGCGGUCUGUUAAGUCUGGUGUGAAAGCCCUGGGCUCAACCCAGGAAGUGCAUUGGAUACUGGCAGACUUGAGUAUGGGAGAGGAAAGCGGAAUUCCGAGUGUAGGAGUGAAAUCCGUAGAUAUUCGGAGGAACACCAGUGGCGAAGGCGGCUUUCUGGACCAAUACUGACGCUGAGACGCGAAAGCGUGGGGAGCAAACAGGAUUAGAAACCCUAGUAGUCC
This 274-nucleotide ribosomal RNA is filed under the name uncultured bacterium. RNAcentral's name for it is "partial 16S ribosomal RNA". It matches the Rfam family "Bacterial small subunit ribosomal RNA", at positions 523 to 796 of the family's 1533-position model. The record is from RNAcentral.